ACCCACUAUAAAUUUUGCCAAUAUAAACUAGUAGAAUAUUAAAUUAAACGGCAACGCUUUACAUUUGGACCACACCAUAAUAAUUUCCAAACGCGCUUGCGUGGACUUAAAAUCUUCAAUUCCAUCCAACAUAAGAAAAAUCACUUUUUUUUCCCUUUACUACAAAGCAAAAGCCACGUAAAAUAAAAAAUAAAAAAGACUUAUUCAACCUUUUUUAAUAGAUAAAGAUUUUAUACAUUUCAUUUCAUCAAGCUAGCGUUGAAUCAUCAUGCAAGAUUCGUAUGAGUAGGUACGCAACAAACGGUCCAGAUCAACUUCUCAUUCAUCCAACGGCUGAGAUCAAAUCAAAUUCUUCUGAGCUUAUCAGCUUUGAUCACAGGAUUCGCUUUCGCUAUCUCCUCUCUCCCCACCGCUUUGAAAUCAAAACCGCACUCAUGUUUCUCCGGAUACCUGUGGGACCCACAAAAUGUAAUUCCACAUCUACACUUGAACCCGGUUAACCCGGUCCGCUUUCUACACGUCCCGCACCGGUUCGAUUGAACCGGUCCUGAUGAAUUGUCCGAUGCUUCUGGCACGAUCGACGGUACGGUCAACGCCGGUGGUUGAGGUUGAGGGAGAGAUUCGAUUUCCGCAACCGGCGAAGCAGCAACGACCACGGCGGUGGAAGCGGAGGCUGAGGAGAGAGCCGUUUCGAUUGUUGAUUUAGUUUUGGCUUGUUCUUGCUCCUUCAAAUGAAUGUCUCUGUAACAUUUUGAACAGAGAUUCAUCGUAGCUGAACUGCCGAAGAAGCCGCAGUUGUUUGCGCAGAGUCUGUGGCCUUCUGGAGUUUCACAUCGGUGCUCUUCCGCCAUAGAUGGUGAUAGAUCUGUGGUUUCAGAUGAAAAGAUUCUUAUCCUGCGUAAAUUUCAACAACGAGAAUAUUCAAUUUCACAACGCGUUUAGAUUCCUAUGAAAUUCAAGGAAUAAUAGAAACGAUGAAUCUUAAAAUUUUACAAAAUACUAAAACAUAAUCGAAUUAUAAUACAGGAAUUAUUAUUCAGAGAAAUUGUACCUGAAUGAAGAGAAAGAGUCGUUGAGGAAAUUGAGAAAGAAGAGAUAAGGGAGAGGGAAAAGGAAGAGAAAGAAUGAUGAUAACAGAGUCGGAAAGGUUAUUGAAGAGAGAGAGAGGAAGAAACGGCGAAAGGGGACAAAUUGUUAUGAUCGUUUUCAAAGAAAAUAUUAGUUAAUUAAUAGAAUAAGAAUGAACAGUUGUGUUUGAGGAUUAGUGUUGAUUUGGUUAAUUAAAAAAUGGUAAAUUAUUUAAUGUAUGGGAUUAGAACAAAAGACAGGCUGGCUGUGACGGCAGCGGCAGUGGUGUGGUGGUGAAGAUCGUAUCGUAGCGGCUUAGAACGUAAUUUCUUAUUUAUCACCCAAUGAAAAUAGACGUAAUUGAGAGAAUUCAUAGAUUGAUUUUUUUUAUUUUUUAUGUAUGUGGUUAAUAAUUAAAACCAGAUACAUCUAAUUUUUUUACAAAUAUCAAUGUAUUUGUUUUUUUAGGGGAAUAUUAAUGUAUUUGGUUAA
RNAcentral lists this long non-coding RNA (1560 nucleotides) under Medicago truncatula (barrel medic). RNAcentral describes it as "lncRNA gene43399". The record is from RNAcentral. Lineage: Eukaryota; Viridiplantae; Streptophyta; Magnoliopsida; Fabales; Fabaceae.